GUGAGGAAUAUUGGACAAUGGGCGCAAGCCUGAUCCAGCCAUGCCGCGUGCAGGAAGACGCAUCUAUGGUGUGUAAACUGCUUUUGUACGGGAAGAAACACUCCCUCGUGAGGGAGCUUGACGGUACCGUAAGAAUAAGGAUCGGCUAACUCCGUGCCAGCAGCCGCGGUAAUACGGAGGAUCCAAGCGUUAUCCGGAAUCAUUGGGUGUAAAGGGUCCGUAGGCGGUUUAAUAAGUCAGUGGUGAAAGCCCAUCGCUCAACGAUGGAACGGCCAUUGAUACUGUUAGACUUGAAUUACAAGGAAGUAACUAGAAUAUGUAGUGUAGCGGUGAAAUGCUUAGAUAUUACAUGGAAUACCAAUUGCGAAGGCAGGUUACUACUUGUGGAUUGACGCUGAUGGACGAAAGCGUGGGGAGCGAACAGGAUUAGAUACCCGAGUAGUCC
This 445-nucleotide ribosomal RNA is filed under the name uncultured bacterium. RNAcentral's name for it is "partial 16S ribosomal RNA". It matches the Rfam family "Bacterial small subunit ribosomal RNA", at positions 354 to 796 of the family's 1533-position model. The record is from RNAcentral.